This is a long non-coding RNA of Mercenaria mercenaria, 1511 nucleotides long. RefSeq lists it as uncharacterized. NCBI's taxonomy places the organism in Eukaryota, Metazoa, Mollusca, Bivalvia, Venerida, Veneridae. The record is from RefSeq and is a predicted model, not a curated record. The transcript has 3 exons.
AAAAAACCCCCAAAACAUUGUGUACAACCCUCGACAAGCGUUUGGAAGACAGGCGUCCUGUGUCAACAGAAAAAAACACUUUACUAUUUCUUCUUUUUCGGGGCUUUAUUACUGCAGGAUUCUGUCCGACUGGAUAGACGCUAACAGCUGGAAUAUAUAGAAAGAUAUCCUGAAAACGCGAUGGUAAUAGUGCACUUUUUGCCAGGUGACUUGAUUCCGGAAAAAGACAUUCCAUUAUAUCCUGUUUUGGGAAGCAUCCCACCAGAACUGGUGUGUCUAGUUUGCCUUAGUAAGAUGAGAAAUGUUGUUUUCUUGGGAUGUGGUCAUUUGCUUGUCUGUACAAACUGUACAAUAUUUUUUCGUACAUGUCCAUUGAAUGACUGUGGUCAAAAAGUAAAAGCUUGUUCUCCUGUGAAGUAUUAUUAAACGAAAGAGAACAGUGGCAUAUCACCCGGGGAGGCUCGACUUUGAAACAGCUUUCAACCAAACACAUCUCUGUGAUAUAUGCUGUAUUUUGUUGGGGUUGAGCUGGAUUGAGUUCCUGACGGAUAGUAUCUAAAAUUGACAUAUCACUAUUUGCUUUUCGUCUUCGUCUUGUUGUGUGCAUCGCCUCCAGAAUCUAUCAGUGCAUUUGAAGCAACACCAAAGAGACAGAUAAGAACACGCAAUAAAAUUGUUUUCAUAAAUUUUAAUUGUGUCCUGGCUGAAAUUGUAACAAAGCUGAUUGUUACUUUUAUAUACAAAGUUUAAGAAUAUUAGCAAACUGGAUACAAUGUAAUUAUGUAAAAGAUUUUUCAAAUGAUCUACGUAAAUGUUAGAGAACUUUUGACAGGUCAUAGAAAUGACUACUUACACUUUGUUUAGUACAUGUAACAGCUAUUUUAGGUAGUAUAUUGUUUUGUUUUUUAUUUAGAUUUUUACUUUUAAUGAAGACUAUAAAACUAUCAUUUACUGUUGUCACGUCACUGAUUAUGUGAUAUACAAGAAAGCAAAUAAGGCACUUUCAAAAACAAUUAUUAAAUCAAACAAAUAAAGUAAAUUAAAUAAAACAUUAUUGAUUUUCGUUGGUAUUAAUAUUUAUGAAGACAUAAUAGAAUCUAUGAUUGUAAAAAAUUAUGUAUAAACUCAUAUCUAAAGUAUCAUUGCUGCGUUUAUGCUAUAGACUAGUUUCAAUAAAUACAUAUGUGGGCAUUUUAUUUAAGAAUUUCAUUUAAGUUGCUGUGUUUUUCUUGGUAUGAGUAACAAAAGAAGCUUUUUUGACAAACAACAUGAUUGAUAAUUUGCUGUUGGUAAUUUUGUGUUACUCUUUAUCUCUUCUGUUUUGAUCUCCCUGUACUUUCAAUUCUAUCAGCUUUAUGUUAGUGUACUACGUACUCGCUGCUUAUAAUAAAUUAAAAUUUUUCUAAAUGACUGUGAUUUUGUUAGUUUCUGUUGUGUACAUGAAGCUUUGAAGAAGUGUACCAUGCAUACUUAUUUUAAAGAAAAAACACAAGCUGCUAUUUUGAAACUAA